UGAGGAACAUGACCUUCGGCGGGGGAUAGCCGGCCCAACGGCCGGGUAAUACCGCGUACGACCACAUGGGGACAUCCCUGAGUGGUGAAAGCAGCAAUGCGCCGAUGGAGUGCCUCGCGGCCUAUCAGCUAGUUGGUGAGGUAACGCUCACCAAGGCAACGAUGCGUAGCCGACCUGAGAGGGUGAUCGGCCACAUUGGAACUGAGACACGGUCCAGACCUGUACGGGGAG
RNAcentral lists this ribosomal RNA (231 nucleotides) under uncultured bacterium. RNAcentral's name for it is "partial 16S ribosomal RNA". It matches the Rfam family "Bacterial small subunit ribosomal RNA", at positions 118 to 347 of the family's 1533-position model. The record is from RNAcentral.